CGGAGAGUUUGAUCAUGGCUCAGGACGAACGCUGGCGGCGUGCCUUAGACAUGCAAGUCGAACGGAGUAGCAAUACUCAGUGGCGAACGGCGGAGUAAUGCAUAAGCAACGUGCCCCAAAGACUGGGAUAGUCGAGGGAAACCACGGGUAAUACCAGAUGUGGUCCUUAGAUGGCAUCAUCAAGGGAUUAAAUCGAGCAAUCGGCUUUGGGAGCGGCUUAUGUCCUAUCAGCUUGUUGGUGAGGUAACGGCUCACCAAGGCUACGACGGGUAGGGGGUCUGAGAGGAUGAUCCCCCCGAGUGGGACUGCGACACGGCCCACACACCUACGGGUGGCAGCAGUUUGGAAUAUUGCACAAUGGGGGAAACCCUGAUGCAGCGACGCCGCGUGGAGGACGAAGGAUCUAGGCGAAUAAGCCCCGGCUAACUACGUGCCAGCAGCCGCGGUAAGACGUAGGGGGCGAGCGUUGUCCGGAUUUACUGGGCGUAAAGAGCGCGUAGGCGGCUAGUUAAGUGAGAAGUGAAAUCUCCAGGGCUCAACCCGGAAACUGCUUUUCAUACUGGCCAGCUGGAGGGACGCAGGGGUGACUGGAAUUCCCGGUGUAGCGGUGAAAUGCAUUGAUAUCGGGAGGAACUCCAACAGCGAAGGCAGGUCACUGGGCGUUUCCUGACGCUGAGGCGCGAAAGCGUGGGUAGCAAACAGGAUUAGAUACCCUGGUAGUCCACGCCCUAAACGAUGGAUACUAGACGUAAGAGGUAUCGACCCCUCUUGUGUCGCAGCUAACGCAUUAAGUAUCCCGCCUGGGGAGUACGGCCGCAAGGUUGAAACUCAAAUGAAUUGACGGGGACCCGCACAAGCGGUGGAGCAUGUGGAUUAAUUCGAUACUAACCGAAGAACCUUACCCAGGUUUGACAUCGAUGGUAAGCCCGAGAGAUCGGGCCCUCUCUCACAAGGAGACCUGAAGACAGAUGUUGCAUGGCUGUCGUCAGCUCGUGCCGUGAGGUGUACGGUUAAGUCCGCCAACGAGCGCAACCCUCGUCCUAUGUUGCCAGCGAGUAAUGUCGGGAACUCAUAGGAGACCGCCGGUGUAAGCCGGAGGAAGGUGGGGAUGAUGUCAAGUCAGCAUGGCUCUUACGCCUGGGGCUUCACACAUGCUACAAUGGGCGCAACAAAGGGCACCGAAGCCGUGAGGUGGAGGCAAUCCCAAAAAUACGCCCCCAGUUCAGAUUGCAGUCUGCAACUCGACUGCAUGAAGGCGGAAUCGCUAGUAAACGCAGGUCAGCUAUACUGCGUUGAAUACGUUCCCGGGUCUUGUACACACCGCCCGUCAAGUCACCUGAAUUGUCUUCACCCGAAGUCCGUGGCCUAACCGUAAGGAGGGAGCGGCCGAAGGUGAGGGGAGUAAGGGGGACUAAGUCGUAACAAGGUACCCGUACCGGAAGGUGUGGGUGGAUCACCUCCUUAAA
RNAcentral lists this ribosomal RNA (1466 nucleotides) under Armatimonadota bacterium. Its description in RNAcentral is "bacterial SSU rRNA". It matches the Rfam family "Bacterial small subunit ribosomal RNA". The record is from RNAcentral. Lineage: Bacteria; Bacillati; Armatimonadota.